Molecule: ribosomal RNA, 253 nt
Filed under: uncultured bacterium
Lineage: Bacteria
Description: partial 16S ribosomal RNA
Rfam family: Bacterial small subunit ribosomal RNA
Source: RNAcentral
UACGUAGGGGGCAAGCGUUGUCCGGAUUUAUUGGGCGUAAAGGGCGCGUAGGCGGCCAUGCGUGUCUUCCGUGAAAUCCCUCGGCUUAACCGAGGACGUGCGGAAGAAACUGCAAGGCUCGAGUCCGGAAGAGGGGGGCGGAAUUCCCAGUGUAGCGGUGAAAUGCGUAGAUAUUGGGAGGAACACCAGUGGCGAAGGCGGUCCCCUGGGCCGGAACUGACGCUGAGGCGCGAAAGCGUGGGUAGCAAACGGG